This 465-nucleotide ribosomal RNA is filed under the name uncultured bacterium. RNAcentral describes it as "partial 16S ribosomal RNA". It matches the Rfam family "Bacterial small subunit ribosomal RNA", at positions 28 to 507 of the family's 1533-position model. The record is from RNAcentral.
GACGAACGCUGGCGGCGUGCUUAACACAUGCAAGUCGAACGGAAAGGCCCUGCUUGCCGGGUACUCGAGUGGCGAACGGGUGAGUAACACGUGGGUGAUCUGCCCUGCACUUCGGGAUAAGCCUGGGAAACUGGGUCUAAUACCGGAUAGGAGCCAUUUUUAGUGUGAUGGUUGGAAAGUUUUUUCGGUGUAGGAUGAGCUCGCGGCCUAUCAGCUUGUUGGUGGGGUAAUGGCCUACCAAGGCGGCGACGGGUAGCCGGCCUGAGAGGGUGGACGGCCACAUUGGGACUGAGAUACGGCCCAGACUCCUACUGGAGGCAGCAGUGGGGAAUAUUGCACAAUGGGCGCAAGCCUGAUGCAGCGACGCCGCGUGGGGGAGGACGGCCUUCGGGUUGGAAACUCCUUUCGCUAGGGACGAAGCUUUUUGUGACGGUACCUAGAUAAGAAGCACCGGCUAACUACGUG